This 638-nucleotide ribosomal RNA is filed under the name uncultured bacterium. RNAcentral describes it as "bacterial SSU rRNA". It matches the Rfam family "Bacterial small subunit ribosomal RNA", at positions 829 to 1465 of the family's 1533-position model. The record is from RNAcentral.
CCUUUUCCGGNUCUUCCGCGCCGUAGCUAACGCAUUAAGUGCCCCGCCUGGGGAGUACGGCCGCAAGGCUAAAACUCAAAGGAAUUGACGGGGGCCCGCACAAGCGGCGGAGCAUGCGGAUUAAUUCGAUGCAACGCGAAGAACCUUACCAAGGCUUGACAUGUGCCGGUCUGCUCCGGAGACGGGGUUUCCUCCCUUGUGGGGGCUGGUUUACAGGUGGUGCAUGGUUGUCGUCAGCUCGUGUCGUGAGAUGUUGGGUUAAGUCCCGCAACGAGCGCAACCCUUGUCUCGUGUUGCCAGCACGUUGUGGUGGGGACUCGCGGGAGACUGCCGGGGUCAACUCGGAGGAAGGUGGGGAUGACGUCAAAUCAUCAUGCCCCUUAUGUCUUGGGCUUCACGCAUGCUACAAUGGCCGGUACAGAGGGCUGCGAUACCGUGAGGUGGAGCGAAUCCCUUAAAGCCGGUCUCAGUUCGGAUCGGUGUCUGCAACUCGACACCGUGAAGUUGGAGUCGCUAGUAAUCGCAGAUCAGCAACGCUGCGGUGAAUACGUUCUCGGGCCUUGUACACACCGCCCGUCACGUCAUGAAAGUCGGCAACACCCGAAGCCCGUGGCCCUACGGGGAGCGGUCGAAGGUGG